UAUAAAAGGUAUUUUUCUCUUAGACAAGUCUAAAUCGCCUAGACAAGUCUAAAUCUAUCGUUUAGCAUAAACAGCUACUACAGAAGGAUGUUUAGUUUGGACGUGUCUAAAACUGUCAUCCAAGAUAGACUAGGGUGUCUAAAUAACAAAGGAAUUGAAAAACAUACCUGGGGGCUUGUUUUGCAGCUGUUUAAGCUUAUGAUUCAUACAUGUAGAGGAGGUUACGGCGUGUGGUCGGCAGAAUGGAUGCUCUCGCUAUACUUGAAUUUGCACAAGACGAACGAGAGGAGCAUGAAAAUGAAAUUCAGAGAAGACGCAUGAGGGUGUUCAGGGACAGAGAAAAUCCUUUAGAGGAACUGUCAGACCCGAAGUUCUUGAGGCGCUUUCGAAUUUCUAAAGAAACAUUUCGAUGGCUACUCGAUCUCAUCAGUGAAGACCUACGUCGGCCAACUCGGCGAAACCAAGCACUUGCACCACUUUUGCAACUGGCGAUUGCUCUUCGAUUUUAUGCAAAUGGUGCAUUUCAACAUGUCACUGGAGAUACCUGUGGUGUGUCACAAUGGGCCUGCGGCGAAGCUAUCCAUCGAGUCACAAGGGAAAUAUGUGAUAGAAAGGGAAAUUUCAUAACUUUUCCCGAAACCCAGGCGGAACGACUAAGGGUGCAGCAAGGAUUCCGCGAUAUUGCGCAAUUCCCAGGUGUAAUUGGUGCUAUCGAUGGUUCGCACGUUCCCAUCGCAAACCCAGGAGGAAUUAAUGCCCAGCGUUUCAUGAAUCGAAAGGGUUACUAUAGCCUGAACUGCCAACUUGUUUGUGACCAUGAGUUAUGCUUCACCAAUGUCGUCUCCAGAUGGUACGGCUCUGCGCACGAUUCCAGAAUCUUUGAGGAAUCACGACUUUGCCAAAGAUUCAGAGCAGGAGAGCUCCAGGGUAUUUUGCUGGGUGACCCAGCAUACACGUGCACCAGAUAUAUGUUGACUCCGGUUCGUGAACCAAGAAACGUUGCAGAGCGGAAUUACAAUCAAGCCCAAAGGAGGACAAGAGGGGUCGUCGAGAGAGCGUUUGGGGUUUGGAAAUGACGAUUCCACGCUGUUGGUAGGGGAAAUACCCUUCGAUGUUCAUUGCAGCACAAUAUGGCCAUAAUCAUGGCUACAGCAUGUCUCCACAACUUGGCCAUUCGCAGAAACGAUCCACUUCCAGAUGAUUAUCAUGAUGAUGCCAAUAUGCGCCGAUAGCCAGCAGAGGAAGCGCAUCAUCAUGAAGCUAACCUACGAGGCAACUUAUUUCGCCAAAGAUUCAUAAGACAGCACUUCCAGUAGGCAAGUGCUUGGUCGGUCUUCUUUAAGACAGGAGAUUCAUCGGACAUGGUAGCCCUCUUCUCAAGGCUGGAAAGAAGAAUGCAAAGUCAUUUAGCAACGCGUGUGGUCAGGAACUCCAAAGUGUUGGAGGUCCAUAGUGUAAAGUGAUUAGAUUUGACUGAUACAUCGUUGUAUUCCAUUCACUGCUUACCUUUUACUAGAACGUGGUUUCCUGGGGGUUGCGGCAGAGCUGUUGUGAAGAUCGUAGUUAC
Lineus longissimus is the source of this 1567-nucleotide long non-coding RNA. RefSeq lists it as uncharacterized. Lineage: Eukaryota; Metazoa; Nemertea; Pilidiophora; Heteronemertea; Lineidae. The record is from RefSeq and is a predicted model, not a curated record. The transcript is spliced from 3 exons.